AGUUUGGGGCCCGCCGCCGCGGGAAUUCCAGCUUCCAUAGGGUAUAUUAAAGUUGUUGCAGUUAAAAAAGCUCGUAGUUGAAUUUCGGGGUUAGUAGGCUGGUCGUGCCACUGGUAUGUACUGGUCUUACUGAUUUCUCCCUUCUGGAAGAACUGUAAUGCCAUUUAAUUUGGGGUUGCGGGAAACCAGGACUGUUACUUUAAAAAA
Molecule: ribosomal RNA, 207 nt
Filed under: Glomeraceae sp.
Lineage: Eukaryota; Fungi; Glomeromycota; Glomeromycetes; Glomerales; Glomeraceae
Description: partial small subunit ribosomal RNA
Rfam family: Eukaryotic small subunit ribosomal RNA
Source: RNAcentral